This 2913-nucleotide long non-coding RNA is filed under the name Macaca mulatta (Rhesus monkey). RNAcentral describes it as "lncRNA (ENSMMUG00000065309.1)". The record is from RNAcentral. Lineage: Eukaryota; Metazoa; Chordata; Mammalia; Primates; Cercopithecidae.
CUUUGGGGCCCUAAAGAGCAAAGAGGUCUGAGAACGGGGAUCCUGUCCGGACCGCUGCCCCGUUUCACCUGGACGACUCGGAUUUCCAGGCCAGUCGGAGGAGGCAGAAAGCGAACAGGCUGCUCAGAGGUAGUGGCCCUUCCUUCCAGACGUCGUGCUGAUCCCCAAGUGCCCGGAGCCCGAGUCCCUGAGCUCCCCAAAGCUGAGGGGUGGAGCAAGAGGGGAAGCGAGCCUCCAUCUCGGGCUGCGCGAGCCUCCAUGGGGCGAAGACUAAGCAGGGCGAAAGUCUACUUUCCAAGUUAUUGGGUGGCACAUUAAAACUUUUAUCCAUUUUGGACAAAUUAAUGAGCAAUUUAAUUAAUAAAAUCAGAGAGUAGUGUAAGUGCUAUGAUAAUGAAGUUAAAUGAGUGCACAGUAAAAUAUUCACUAAUCCAGCGCAUUGCCAAAUACCCCCUUAAUUCUGCUUAACACUAAAAGGGUUUUGAGCACCAUAAUGAGAUUCUUCUGCCUGCUAAUUAAUUGACACGCUCCUGAAUAUUCAUAUGAGCUAGCACCAAUACGUUCCUAAUUGCACCGUGGAAUAGAUCUCAGAGGAAAGUAAAUCGCCAUAGACUUAAUUAAAAUAAUGUAUUCCAGAUCCAGGACGGGAAAGAUGAGACAUUUGCCUUCGAGCGCGCUAAGAAAGUGGCACCUGGUUGGUGGAGGGGAGAGAUAUCAAACGUCGGCGCCCAGCCUGAAAUAAGUGGCGUGGGACGCUCAGGGAGGGCGUUCAACUUCAGAAAGCAGCGGCUACGCUCGGUCCAAACACGGCGGCUCGGGAGGCCAUAGCUCUUAGGUGCGUCCGUGUUCCUGCUACCCUGCGCGAUGUUGUCCUAAUGGAGGAAGUGGCCGAUGGACAGUCUAGGAUCCUGGCCCCUGACCCAGGGCCCUCUCUUUCCUCCCUGCGAUCCUGGUCCCGAUCAUGGUCCCGGGGCUGGUCUGAAGUGAUGUCUACAGAGGCACUGGGGGAAACAUCAUAGGUCCGGAAAUUCCUAGGGAAACUUUUUCGAGGAUUUGUGGACGCCACAGCAGCCCCAACUCUCCCAACCCAGCUUGCGACAUGAGAGAAGUCACUCACACUUCUCUUUGGGGGAGAUCGACAGCUCCGGGGAGGAUGCUUGGAUCCUGAAAAUGACGGGAUCCAGGUCCCACAUCCCUCAGGAAGCGCUGCGGUCCUCAAAACUGCGCAGCUAAAUUCCUGGGCACAUUCUCCCUUCCUUGGCCAGUCCAGUGACCGUGCCAAGGAGCAUUCCAGCCGAGCUUACCUCAGCAGGUAGAAAGCACAGCAGCAAGGCUGCAGACCCUACAUCUGGGCUCCACAUCACGGCCAUUUUUACCAGAUAAUGCAAGAGAAAUAAACUCUCCUCCCUUGGAAACACAAGUCCCCCACCCCCUUCUUUUUGGGGGGAAAAAUCACCACAGGUUAGAAACUGAAAAGAGUUUAUUUGAAGGCAUACAAAUGCAUAUUUAUUAUACACAUGUAGGCAUUAACAAUGUAAAUUACACCGCCAGCAGUUGCUGGUUGUUUAUUCAUUAGAUCUUUAGAAAAUCUACAUUGCCUCCAGACAGUGCGAUGAUAAUGUGAAAUACACAAGCAGUUUACAUAACCAACUUCAACGCAGAGCUUCGCGCUCCGCCACUCGGAGUCAUCAACAGGUCGCAGGGAAGCGGACGCGAAGGAAAACCUAAGUUUCUAACAACUACGGAAAAUCUGGGAAACCUAUGAGGCCCACAGUUCCCUCUGUCCUUUUGGGAAGCUAUAAAAGACCUGGAGAAAAAGAAGCAACUGUCUCACUAUGUUUGGUUCAUAUAUUUUACCCCGUUUGUGUGUAACUUUUUUUUUCUUUGCAAUUAAAAAAAAUCGGUAAAAAGGGAAUGGAUGGGCGGAACGGAAAGAUCAAUGUCCUCCCCAAACUCCUGGUAUUCUGGAGUUUUCCUUAAAGACUGUGAACCCAAACUGCUUUCAGGGGUGAAGUAAGUGACGAGGUUUCCUUUACUGCCUGCGCGGGAAGAAAAGACAGCCAAUCUACCUUGGCUAAGGGAGGCCAUCGGCUCCACCAAUCAAAUCGCUAUGGCUAUAACAAAUGGUUAUCCACUCCAAAGAAAAUCACUUGCUGGAUCAGCCUUCUUGGAAUUAAAUCCUCCGUGGUUCUAGAUUUAUCCAAAAGAUGAUGAGAUGAGGUGACACUUUAAGAGAAAAGUAGCAGUGCAGACUUAAUGGUUAUUUUAAGUACAUAAAUAUUGUAUGUCAAUAUAUUUACAAGAUUCUUUCCCAGUAAAAAUAUUAAGUAAAACUAAAUGAGGAGGCGGGUGCCAACUAGGGUCUCCUGCGUUGGGCCAGUGAACGACGUCAGCCACAACUCUUAAGUGGUAACGUUUUCGAAAAACCGCGCCGAUCCUCUGAAGGUCGGGUUAAUGAUUUACCCCAUUUGCCAACCACCUGGCGUAGCCUACCGCUACGCCGCGGAGGUGUGCCAGUGAUGCGCUGCAGGGGCGAUGCUGGGGCUCUGUUUUCUGCUUCCUUCUUUUCCUCCCUUCUUUACCUCCUUUCUUUUGGUUAGGCCAGCUGAGCACAGAAGAAAAUGCCCUGUCAACCCUGGAAAGCUUGCGCUACUGGGAAUGCCUCGAGUCAGUUUGCAGACCUAAAAUCUGGUGUUCAUACCUGCGCUGGAAUUGGAACUGUAGGCUGAGAAAAAGGGCGGGAGAAGGAGGGUAGAGAGGGAAAGGUUAGCGGCAAUGAGAAGGGGUGGGGAGAGGGAGGGAGAAAGUGGGGGAGAGGGAGGGAAAGGAACGCAGGAAGCAGGGAUCUAUUUUGGGGGCGUCGGUAAGUCCUUGGGGCAACCUGGUUUUCCCCUGCUGACAAGCUGUGUCAGU